Molecule: ribosomal RNA, 465 nt
Filed under: uncultured bacterium
Lineage: Bacteria
Description: partial 16S ribosomal RNA
Rfam family: Bacterial small subunit ribosomal RNA
Source: RNAcentral
GACGAACGCUGGCGGCGUGCUUAACACAUGCAAGUCGAACGGAAAGGCUCUGCUUGCUUGGUACUCGAUUGGCGAAUUUGUGAGUAACACGUGGGUGAUCUGCCCUGCACUUCGUGAUAAGCCUGGUACACUGGGACUAAUACCGGAUAGGAGCCAUUAUUCGUGUGAUGGUUGGAAAGUUUUAUCGGUUUAGGAUGAGCUCGCGGCCUAUCAGCUUGUUGGUGGGGUAAUGGCCUACCAAGGCGGCGACGGGUAGCCGGCCUGAGAGUGUGGACGGCCACGUUGGGACUGGGAUACGGCCCAGACUCCGACGGGAGGCAGCAGUAGGGAAUAUUGCACUAUGGGAGCAAGCCUGAUGCAGAGACGCCGAGUGGGGGAUGACGGACUUCGGGUUGUAAACGCCAAUCGCUAGGGACGAAGCAUUUUGUGACGGUACCUAGAUAAGAAGCACCGGCUAACUACGUG